CUACGGGGGGCACCAGUAGGGAAUCUUAGACAAUGGGGGAAACCCUGAUCUAGCCAUGCCGCGUGAGUGAUGAAGGCCUUAGGGUUGUAAAGCUCUUUCGCUGGGGAAGAUAAUGACGGUACCCAGUAAAGAAACCCCGGCUAACUCCGUGCCAGCAGCCGCGGUAAUACGGAGGGGGUUAGCGUUGUUCGGAAUUACUGGGCGUAAAGCGCGCGUAGGCGGGCUAUUAAGUCAGGGGUGAAAUCCCGGGGCUCAACCCCGGAACUGCCUUUGAUACUGGUAGUCUUGAGUUCGAGAGAGGUGAGUGGAAUUCCGAGUGUAGAGGUGAAAUUCGUAGAUAUUCGGAGGAACAUCAGUGGCGAAGGCGACUCACUGGCUCGAUACUGACGCUGAGGUGCGAAAGUGUGGGGAGCAAACAGGAUUAGAUACCCCUGUAGUC
This 439-nucleotide ribosomal RNA is filed under the name uncultured bacterium. Its description in RNAcentral is "partial 16S ribosomal RNA". It matches the Rfam family "Bacterial small subunit ribosomal RNA", at positions 339 to 795 of the family's 1533-position model. The record is from RNAcentral.